RNAcentral lists this ribosomal RNA (254 nucleotides) under uncultured bacterium. RNAcentral's name for it is "partial 16S ribosomal RNA". It matches the Rfam family "Bacterial small subunit ribosomal RNA", at positions 524 to 776 of the family's 1533-position model. The record is from RNAcentral.
GACGAACCGUGCAAACGUUGUUCGGAAUCACUGGCUUAAAGGGCGCGUAGGCGGCUCGCCAAGUCGGGGGUGAAAUCUUUCGGCUCAACCGGAAAAGUGCCUUCGAUACUGGCGGGCUGGAGGGAGGUAGGGGCAUGUGGAACUUCCGGUGGAGCGGUGAAAUGCGGUUGAUAUCGGAAGGAACGCCGGUGGCGAAAGCGACGUGCUGGACCUCUUCUGACGCUGGAGGCGCGAAAGCUAGGGGAGCGAACGGG